UACGAAGGGGGCUAGCGUUGUUCGGAAUUACUGGGCGUAAAGCGCGCGUAGGCGGCGGUCUUUGUCAGGGGUGAAAUCCCGGAGCUCAACUCCGGAAUUGCCUUUGAAACGGGGCUGCUUGAGUCCGAGAGAGGAUGGCGGAAUUCCUAGUGUAGAGGUGAAAUUCGUAGAUAUUAGGAAGAACACCGGUGGCGAAGGCGGCCAUCUGGCUCGGUACUGACGCUCAGGCGCGAAAGCGUGGGGAUCAAACAGG
This 253-nucleotide ribosomal RNA is filed under the name uncultured bacterium. RNAcentral's name for it is "partial 16S ribosomal RNA". It matches the Rfam family "Bacterial small subunit ribosomal RNA", at positions 524 to 776 of the family's 1533-position model. The record is from RNAcentral.